GAGUUCCGAGCGACCGAUGGAGAUGGCGGCUGCGGCUGAGUGACGGACGGUGGAGGCCCAGAGCCCGGGCCUGAAGGGGGGGACAAACCUGGGUGCCCGCAGGAGCCCGGCAGGGUGUCUUACAAGUAUCAAGAACUUACUAUAUGUGGUUGAAUAAACAAUCAAGGUAAAGAGCAUCAAGUAAAAACUUCUGCUUGUUGAUAAGUACUUCAGACAUUCCCCCAGUGGCUGAAGUGGCAUAUGAAUUAUGAAGCUGGAUCAUUUGGAAUGAAUGUAAGAGAAUUGCCAAGGGCUCCUCCUACUCCAGAGAGGAAACCUCAUCCAGGGCCAUGAAGCCACUUCCUCACCAUCUGUGUGCUGCUUAAGCUAAUGCUGCGGGAACCAUGGUUCCUUGGGAGGAAUCAAGCUGACUCUUGGCAUGAGAUUCCUGCCUUCCUAGUGUUGAGAGCGGCACUGCCAUGGCUUCUCUGGACGACCCAGGGGAAGUGAGGGAGGGCUUCCUCUGCCCUCUGUGCCUGAAGGAUCUGCAGUCUUUCUAUCAGCUUCACUCACAUUACGAGGAAGAACACUCGGGGGAAGACCGUGAUGUCAAAGGGCAAAUUAAAAGUCUUGUCCAGAAGGCUAAGAAAGCAAAGGACAGGUUGUUGAAACGAGAAGGGGAUGAUCGAGCAGAGUCAGGGACCCAAGGAUAUGAGUCUUUCAGCUAUGGAGGGGUUGAUCCUUACAUGUGGGAACCCCAGGAGCUUGGUGCUGUGAGAAGCCAUCUUUCCGACUUCAAAAAACACCGAGCUGCUAGAAUUGACCACUAUGUUGUGGAAGUCAAUAAACUAAUAAUCAGGUUAGAAAAGCUCACUGCAUUUGACAGAACAAAUACUGAGUCUGCAAAGAUUCGAGCAAUAGAAAAGUCUGUGGUGCCUUGGGUCAACGACCAGGAUGUCCCUUUCUGUCCAGACUGUGGGAAUAAGUUCAGCAUCCGGAACCGCCGCCACCACUGCCGCCUCUGCGGGUCUAUUAUGUGCAAGAAGUGUAUGGAGCUCAUCAGCCUUCCCUUGGCAAAAAUUACGACUUUGCAUGGAGAAAGUUGACCAGAAAGCUCCAGAAUACAUCAGGAUGGCAGCAUCAUUAAAUGCUG
This 1132-nucleotide small RNA is filed under the name Pan troglodytes (chimpanzee). Its description in RNAcentral is "processed transcript". The record is from RNAcentral. Lineage: Eukaryota; Metazoa; Chordata; Mammalia; Primates; Hominidae.